CCCCAGUAGCGGCGAGCGAACGGGGAGCAGCCCGGAGUCUGAAUCAGCUUGUGUGUUAGUGGAACGGUCUGGAAAGUCCGACGGUACAGGGUGAUAGUCCCGUACACGAAAAUGCACAUGCUGUGAACUCGAAGAGUAGGGCGGGACACGUGGUAUCCUGUCUGAAUAUGGGGGGACCAUCCUCCAAGGCUAAAUACUCCUGACUGACCGAUAGUGAACCAGUAC
Molecule: ribosomal RNA, 225 nt
Filed under: Enterobacter hormaechei
Lineage: Bacteria; Pseudomonadati; Pseudomonadota; Gammaproteobacteria; Enterobacterales; Enterobacteriaceae
Description: partial 23S ribosomal RNA
Rfam family: Bacterial large subunit ribosomal RNA
Source: RNAcentral